RNAcentral lists this transfer RNA (70 nucleotides) under Marmota monax (woodchuck). RNAcentral's name for it is "tRNA.Ala". It matches the Rfam family "tRNA". From Rfam's summary of the family: Transfer RNA (tRNA) molecules are approximately 80 nucleotides in length. Their secondary structure includes four short double-helical elements and three loops (D, anti-codon, and T loops). Lineage: Eukaryota; Metazoa; Chordata; Mammalia; Rodentia; Sciuridae. The record is from RNAcentral.
GGGGUUGUGGCUCAGUGGUAGAGUGCUCACCUUGCAUGUGAGAGACCUGGGUUCUAUCCUCAGCACCACA